AAACACACACACACACACACACACACACACACAUUCUCACAUAACACCCACACACACACACUUACAUACAGUGCCUUGUCUUUGUAACCAAAGGGGGUUGCAAGGGGAGGUGUUUUGUAAACUAUUGUUUGAAGUUUGUCAAUAAAAGGCGGCGAGAGGAGGCCACCAGCGUGGUCAUUUCAACGUGCUGGUCACAGACGAGAGGCCUCCCUUGCGCAAGAAAUCGAUCGAACACUGUUGCCUUGCUUUUCUUUCAUGGGAAUAAGUCCUGGAUACAGCGGGGUCUGAGUUUAGACCCAACAGUUUUCUUUUGUUUUUUUUAAGGAAAUCUAAAAAAUUAAAACCAGAAUAAAUAUCAGUCUGUCAUCAACCUUUUCUUCCAUUUUUCUGAAUGAUUCACAGAUGUGUUAAAGCAUAGCAUGCCCACCCUCUUAUGGUUACUUACAGUAUAAACAGCAUCACAUAAGUCAGUGAUUCUUAACCAUGGGGCUGCGAGCCACACCUUAAGAGCCGCAAAAUACUUUUGGUUAUUGUUCCCUGUCCAUGACAAUCUCAGUCUCAAUACAGCUUCACACCAUUUGGUGGGAGUUGUUUAAACAGCCUCAAAAAGCAAGAAGAAGAAGACAGUCUGCCUGCUGUUUGCAGUUAGCAAAAUAUAUGGAGAAGUUCUUAAAAUGCAAAAAGGAAGAUAAAGGGGGUUGUACUUUUGUGCAAGUACAGCUUUGACUUCCUGAAGCAUGCGGUUUGUGAACAGAGGAAAUGAGGCGGACCCGAGAGCCCAAUGUGUGGAGUAAUGCUAUACAUUGAAGCACUGAAUUGAUUUGGCCUGCCACUGUAUAUAUGUGCCAUGAGAUCAUCGGAGGGGCUGCUGCAAAGAACACUCAAACGACACUGCGAGCCACCGUAUCAUGGACAUGACCUUAGACAUACAGCAUCAGCUUCUAGAAAGAAUAAAAAUACUAUCUUUGUCUCUUUACAACUAGAUCAGUCCCUUUUUUCUCUUUCGUUGUAGUAAAAUUGAAUUAUUAAUUAUUUUUGUGUUAUUAACCUUGACUUGAGCCUUUCAAUUUCUACUUGCAGUUUGAUUUGUUUCAUGAAUUGUUGACCUGUUUGGCAUUUUGUUUUAUUUCCAGGUUCACAUACAUGUAAUAAAUAAAUGUCUUAUUACAUUGUAUAAUGUCGUCAUCAUCAUGUUUAUUUGGCAAGGUUUUAGCUUUUAAGAUCAGGUGGAAUUGAUUUAUUUAUUAAAUAUAAAUCAAACCAAAAGCAAAAUUAAUUUAUUCAAUACAGUGUUAAUAUGUGAAUGGGCCCUGGUCCACUUUGUAGUGAAAACGUCAGGCCCUGAGAUAAAAACAAAACAAAAAAAACAAAAUGUAAGAACCCC
This is a long non-coding RNA of Astatotilapia calliptera (eastern happy), 1384 nucleotides long. The record is from Ensembl. Lineage: Eukaryota; Metazoa; Chordata; Actinopteri; Cichliformes; Cichlidae.